Molecule: ribosomal RNA, 433 nt
Filed under: uncultured bacterium
Lineage: Bacteria
Description: partial 16S ribosomal RNA
Rfam family: Bacterial small subunit ribosomal RNA
Source: RNAcentral
AGCGAACGCUGGCGGCAGGCCUAACACAUGCAAGUCGAACGAACUCUUCGGAGUUAGUGGCGGACGGGUGAGUAACACGUGGGAACGUGCCUUUAGGUUCGGAAUAACUCAGGGAAACUUGUGCUAAUACCGAAUGUGCCCUUCUGGGCAAAGAUUUAUCGCCUUUAGAUCGGCCCGCGUUUGAUUAGCUAGUUGGUGAGGUAAAGGCUCACCAAGGCGACGAUCAGUAGCUGGUCUGAGAGGAUGAUCAGCCACAUUGGGACUGAGACACGGCCCAAACUCCUACGGGAGGCAGCAGUGGGGAAUCUUGCGAAAUGGGCGAAAGCCUGACGCAGCCAUGCCGCGUGAAUGAUGAAGGUCUUAGGAUUGUAAAAUUCUUUCACCGGGGACGAUAAUGACGGUACCCGGAGAAGAAGCCCCGGCUAACUUCGUG